Molecule: small nuclear RNA, 107 nt
Organism: Perognathus longimembris pacificus (Pacific pocket mouse)
Lineage: Eukaryota; Metazoa; Chordata; Mammalia; Rodentia; Heteromyidae
Source: RefSeq, a predicted model, not a curated record
GUGCUUGCUUCAGCAACACAUAUACUAAAAUUGGAACGAUACUUGGAAGGUUCACAUGGCCCUUUCACAAGGAUGACACAGAAAUUCAUGAAGUUUGAGAGAGAGAG